AGAGUUUGAUCAUGGCUCAGGACGAACGCUGGCGGCGCGCCUAACACAUGCAAGUCGAACGAGAGAUGAGGAGGCUUGCUCUUCAGAUCGAGUGGCGAACGGGUGAGUAACGCGUGAGGAACCUGCCUCAAAGAGGGGGACAACAGUUGGAAACGACUGCUAAUACCGCAUAAGCCCACAGCUCGGCAUCGAGCAGAGGGAAAAGGAGCAAUCCGCUUUGAGAUGGCCUCGCGUCCGAUUAGCUAGUUGGUGAGGUAACGGCCCACCAAGGCGACGAUCGGUAGCCGGACUGAGAGGUUGAACGGCCACAUUGGGACUGAGACACGGCCCAGACUCCUACGGGAGGCAGCA
This 351-nucleotide ribosomal RNA is filed under the name uncultured bacterium. RNAcentral describes it as "bacterial SSU rRNA". It matches the Rfam family "Bacterial small subunit ribosomal RNA", at positions 8 to 353 of the family's 1533-position model. The record is from RNAcentral.